RNAcentral lists this ribosomal RNA (254 nucleotides) under uncultured bacterium. RNAcentral's name for it is "partial 16S ribosomal RNA". It matches the Rfam family "Bacterial small subunit ribosomal RNA", at positions 524 to 776 of the family's 1533-position model. The record is from RNAcentral.
UACGGGGGGAGCAAGCGUUGUUCGGAUUUACUGGGCGUAAAGGGCGCGUAGGCGGCCAGCACAAGUCAGUUGUGAAAUCUCCGAGCUUAACUCGGAAAGGUCAACUGAUACUGUGCGGCUAGAGUGCGGAAGGGGCAACUGGAAUUCUUGGUGUAGCGGUGAAAUGCGUAGAUAUCAAGAGGAACACCUGCGGCGAAGGCGGGUUGCUGGGCCGACACUGACGCUGAGGCGCGAAAGCAUGGGGAGCGAACAGG